GGCGCAGGUGGUUGUAUAAGUCUGAAGUAAAAGGCAGUGACUCACCAUUGUGUGCUUUGGAAACUGUACAACUUGAGUGCAGAAGGGGAGAGUGGAAUUCCAUGUGUAGCGGUGAAAUGCGUAGAUAUAUGGAGGAACACCGGUGGCGAAAGCGGCUCUCUGGUCUGUAACUGACACUGAGGCUCGAAAGCGUGGGAGCAAACA
RNAcentral lists this ribosomal RNA (204 nucleotides) under uncultured bacterium. RNAcentral describes it as "partial 16S ribosomal RNA". It matches the Rfam family "Bacterial small subunit ribosomal RNA", at positions 568 to 774 of the family's 1533-position model. The record is from RNAcentral.